Molecule: long non-coding RNA, 1485 nt
Filed under: Equus asinus (donkey)
Lineage: Eukaryota; Metazoa; Chordata; Mammalia; Perissodactyla; Equidae
Description: lncRNA (ENSEASG00005024009.1, ENSEASG00020041039.1)
Source: RNAcentral
CCAAAUUGUAAAAAACCGCUCUCCUGGUUUUUAUGCGUUGGCAGCUGUUCCACAUAGCAUCAAAGCUCAAAACAGGUCUUUGGACUGCCAGUUUCGUGUUGAUGUCGAUGAUAUGGCUUCCUUUAUGGACCUUAAUAAAGAGCUGAACAAACACAGGCGAUGUUUGUUCUCAGUGGUUGGGGCAAGAGGGAGAGGAGAGCGGUGGGUAGUUAAGACAACGAAUGUUUGGGAAGGAAGAGGAGCCCGUGGCGGGAACAGCUGUGAUGCUGUGAUUUAUAAUAAAUAUAUAUUUGGUCUUUGUACCCCAUUUCUGGCACAGAACUCCUAAAACGCUUGGAAUUUCCUGUGAUGAGAGCAAUCAAGGCGUCUUUUGUUAUGUUAAUGAGGCGACUUGGAAAGCACCUCGGUCACCUAAGGUUGGGGGCUGGUUGCCAGGGGUCCCAACCAGGUACCUCAAGGGUUGGAAUUUUCAGUCCCACCUGCCCCUGCACCUCUGGGGAGGGGAGAGGGUCUGGAGGUUGAAUCGAUCGCCUAUAAUAGCCACUGGUUUAAUCAAUCGUGACCAUGUAAUGACGCCUCCGUAAAAAGCCCAAAGGGAUGGAGGGCGUCCAGGUUGGUGAACUUGUGGAGAUGCAAGGAGAGUGGCGGCUCAGAGAGCAGGGAAGCUCCGCGCCCUUUCCAUACCUUGCCCGAUGCAUCUCUUCCAUCUGGCUGUUCUGAGGUACAUCCUUUUAUAAUAAACUGGUAGACGGUGACAGAAUCGAUGGAACUGUAGGACAUCCUGCUGGUGUCGGAGAAUUGCUUGGUGUCGGGGAAGGCGUCACAAGUCAGACUGGGUGCAGAACAGUCAGCAACCAGGGUUUCUUGGUACUUUGCUGCAAGCCUGUUUGCUGUAGACAUCUUUGCCACGAGUAUUUUCGCUGCAUAACCACUUGGCCUUAUGGCAAUUUUGCUGUAAAAGAUAAAAAUCACGAAAAAUAAAAGAGGGCCAUUCAUUCCAAAGGACACAACAAAACGUGAAAAAGAUGAAUAACAAAAUUAAAAGGACUUUAUUGUGAAAUACAAAAGAUUUGAAUAGGUUUAAAAUAUGUGUCUGGAGAUUCACGGCAGUCCUGCCCAAAGAACCAGUUUUAUUUUGUGUGUGUGGAUUGCACCUCACUAAGCACCUUCCUUUGUUCCGUGGGACAUGUGGGUUCAACUCUGCCCCCUUGAAGAAGAGGCCCUCGGCCCUCUUCUCCUCCUCCAAUAUAGUGUGAUUCAAAAUAAGAAACAACUCUUGGGGCAAAUCAUCGACACGGUCAGCUCGAUGAAGCCAUCAGUAAGACACUGACUGGAAGAAAUGCCAAGUAUUUUAGACCGCUACCGUCACCACCAUGUCUGCAGGUCACUGUGGAGACCACUCUGAGAGCUAGCCAAGAUUUAUAGCAUAUAAAAAUGGGAGGAACUGUGAGAACUUCGUCAAUGGAGAAGUGAAACCAAACUGGA